This 421-nucleotide ribosomal RNA is filed under the name uncultured bacterium. Its description in RNAcentral is "partial 16S ribosomal RNA". It matches the Rfam family "Bacterial small subunit ribosomal RNA", at positions 360 to 773 of the family's 1533-position model. The record is from RNAcentral.
AAUUUGGGAAAAGGGGGGCAACCCUGAUCCAGCCAUCCCGCGUGUGCGAUGAAGGCCAUAGGGUUGUAAAGCACUUUUGGCAGAGAAGAAAAGGCUCUGGCUAAUACCUGGAGCUGCUGACGGUACCUGCAGACGAAGCACCGGCUAACUACGUUCCAGCAGCCGCGGUAAUACGUAGGGUGCAAGCGUUAAUCGGAAUUACUGGGCGUAAAGCGUGCGCAGGCGGUUCGGCAAGAAGGAUGUGAAAUCCCAGGGCUUAACCUUGGAACUGCAUUCUUAACUGCCGGGCUAGAGUAUGUCAGAGGGGGGUAGAAUUCCGCGUGUAGCAGUGAAAUGCGUAGAGAUGCGGAGGAAUACCGAUGGCGAAGGCAGCCCCCUGGGAUAAUACUGACGCUCAUGCACGAAAGCGUAGGGAGCAAAC